GAUCGGGGACAUCCAGCAGGGGGCCUGAGCACUUGGUGAGACAAAGCAGCAGCCAGUCAUCGGCAUGACCUCAGGAGACUGCAGCCUUCUUGGAGUUUCUUCCCAGUUAUCUCCUAUCAUGACCAUGGAUGAGGCAGACGACGAUGAUGAUGAUUGGGGAAAUGAAGAGGUUUAUUGGAGGUUUGCUGCCAAGGGUAGACAAUGGGAACUGAACCAAUAGAGCAUUUGUGUUGAGCUGUACUCCUUUGCUGUACAGUACAUUUGGGGGAAUGUACACAUCACUCCCAUGACAAGCUAAACUUGUACACAGUAUUAUAUUGUGUUAUUAUACCUGCUGAAAUAUUUUGUACUAUGUAGUGUAAAAUGUAUAUAGUGAAAUCGGGCAUGCUUUAAAAAAUGAUGGGCUUGUAUAUUCUCCACUGAUACAGGAAUGGAUUUAACACUGAUAUUAACUUCUCAAAUGAAUUACCUACACAUACCAAUCCCUUCUAAAACUGAGGAGUCUAAGAACACAGUAAAAUCCUUAAAAAAAAAAAAUCAAUAACUUGCUCAUCACCAUGUAUUCAGAAAAAAAAAAUUCAGGAAAAUAGACAAGCCUAGUGUGGCUACUAAUAUGUAAUCAUUAUAUACAUUCAUUGAUUGGCCAUUAAUGAGCCAGCACUUUGUUUUUAACUUUACAUUAGUCUGUCCAAACACUUUUAGAUUUUGUAGCUUAGAUUGUAUUAAUACACAGACCAGAUUUAUUGAAGGUUAUUAUGUACUAACACUUAUGGAGAUUGUAUAUCUCAACUACUGCUACUACUAUUAUGAACAAUAAU
Molecule: long non-coding RNA, 818 nt
Organism: Neoarius graeffei (lesser salmon catfish)
Lineage: Eukaryota; Metazoa; Chordata; Actinopteri; Siluriformes; Ariidae
Exons: 3
Source: RefSeq, a predicted model, not a curated record